Non-coding RNA from Oryza meridionalis, 203 nucleotides. The record is from Rfam. NCBI's taxonomy places the organism in Eukaryota, Viridiplantae, Streptophyta, Magnoliopsida, Poales, Poaceae.
AAAAAGGCAAAUCUAGAAUUUCCGUGCCAACGUUUGACUGUCCGUCUUAUAUGAAUUUUUUUGAUAAUUACUAUUUUUAUUGUUGUUAGAUGAUAAAACAUGAUUAAUACUUUAUGCGUGACUUAUUUUUUUAAUUUUUUCAUAAUUUUUCAAAUAAGAUGGACGGUAAAACGUUGGACACGGAAACCAGGGUUUGUCUUUUU